Molecule: ribosomal RNA, 243 nt
Filed under: uncultured bacterium
Lineage: Bacteria
Description: partial 16S ribosomal RNA
Rfam family: Bacterial small subunit ribosomal RNA
Source: RNAcentral
AGGGGGCUAGCGGUGCUCGGAAUGACUGGGCGUAAAGGGUGCGUAGGCGGAUCUUUAAGUCAGGGGUGAAAUCCCGGGGCUCAACCCCGGAACUGCCUUUGAUACUGGGUGUCUCGAGUCCGGAAGAGGUGAGUGGAAUUCCGAGUGUAGAGGUGAAAUUCGUAGAUAUUCGGAGGAACACCAGUGGCGAAGGCGGCUCACUGGUCCGGUACUGACGCUGAGGUGCGAAAGCGUGGGGAGCAA